Molecule: ribosomal RNA, 273 nt
Filed under: Purpureocillium lilacinum
Lineage: Eukaryota; Fungi; Ascomycota; Sordariomycetes; Hypocreales; Ophiocordycipitaceae
Description: partial 28S ribosomal RNA
Rfam family: Eukaryotic large subunit ribosomal RNA
Source: RNAcentral
AGAGUGAUCGAAAGAUGAAAAGCACUUUGAAAAGAGGGUUAAAUAGUACGUGAAAUUGUUGAAAGGGAAGCGCUUAUGACCAGACUUGGGCCCGGUGGAUCAUCCAGCGUUCUCGCUGGUGCACUCCGCCGGGUUCAGGCCAGCAUCAGUUCGCCGCGGGGGAAAAAGGCUUCGGGAACGUGGCUCCUACGGGAGUGUUAUAGCCCGUUGCAUAAUACCCUGGGGCGGACKAGKUCGCGYCCGCAAGGAGGCUGGCGUAAUGGUCAUCAGCGA